This 791-nucleotide ribosomal RNA is filed under the name uncultured archaeon. RNAcentral describes it as "bacterial SSU rRNA". It matches the Rfam family "Archaeal small subunit ribosomal RNA", at positions 85 to 879 of the family's 1478-position model. The record is from RNAcentral.
ACGGCUCAGUAACACGUAGCUAACCUGCCCUCGAGUCCGCGAUACCCUCGGGAAACUGAGGUUAAGAGCGGAUAGGUGAUUUUCUCUGGAAGGAAAAAUCGCUGAACAUUGAACGCGAGGAUGGGGCUGCGGCUGAUUAGGUAGUUGGCGGGGUAACUGCCCACCAAGCCAAUGAUCAGUAAGGGCUCUUAGCGGAGAAGCCCUGAGAGGGAGUCUGAGACACUAUUCCCAGCCCUACGGGGUGCAGCAGUCGGGAAAAUUUUGCAAUACGCGCAAGCGUGACAAAGCAAGCCAGAGUGCACUUCUGUUAUAGAAGCGCUUUUGUGAGAUGUAAAAAGUCUUACGAAUAAGGACUGGGCAAGACCGGUGCCAGCCGCCGCGGUAAUCCCGGCGGUCCAAGUCGCAUCCACAAUUACUGGGUCUAAAACAUCCGUAGCUUGUUUUGUAAGUCUCUUGUGAAAUUUCAUAUCUCAAGUAUGAAGCGUGCAAGAGAUACUACAUUGCUAGAGACCGGAAGACGCAAAGAGUACGAAGGAGGUAGCGGUAAAAUGUGUUAAUCUUCUUCGGACUAACAAUGGCGAAGGCACUUUGCGAGUACGGAUCUGACAGUGAGGGAUGAAGGCUAGGGGCGCAAAAGGGAUUAGAUACCCCUGUAGUCCUAGCAGUAAACACUGCUCACUAAACAUCAGUAUCUCCUCGAGAGGUAUUGGUGCUGUAGGGAAGCCGAAGAGUGAGCUACCUGGGAAGUAUAGUCGCAAGACCGAAACUUAAAGGAAUUGGCGGGGGAGCAC